This 253-nucleotide ribosomal RNA is filed under the name uncultured bacterium. RNAcentral's name for it is "partial 16S ribosomal RNA". It matches the Rfam family "Bacterial small subunit ribosomal RNA", at positions 524 to 776 of the family's 1533-position model. The record is from RNAcentral.
UACGAAAGGUGCAAGCGUUACUCGGAAUCACUGGGCGUAAAGCGCACGUAGGCGGACUCGUAGGUCAAUUGUGAAAUACCUGGGCUCAACCCAGGAACUGCAGUUGAAACCACUUGUCUUGAAUACCUGAGAGGGUGGGGGAAUACCUGGUGGAGAAGUGAAAUUCGUAGAGAUCAGGUGGAACACCGGAGGCGAAGGUGCCUGCCUGGCAGUGUAUUGACGCUGAGGUGCGAAAGUGCGGGGAGCAAACAGG